This is a small nucleolar RNA of Malania oleifera, 106 nucleotides long. NCBI's taxonomy places the organism in Eukaryota, Viridiplantae, Streptophyta, Magnoliopsida, Santalales, Ximeniaceae. The record is from RefSeq and is a predicted model, not a curated record.
ACCUAAUGAUGUGGAAAUUUAUGAAGUAGGUCCCUAAAAUGCUCCCAUAUUUCAAAGAAAAGUUCCUUAUCCGUCUAUGUGAAACUUGUGAUUUUCCUUCACAACU